UAGGAGUGCCAGAUGAGAUGGGUUUGAUUUAGGAUUAGAUGAUGCUGUUUCCGCCCUCUGUG
RNAcentral lists this transfer RNA (62 nucleotides) under Paragonimus westermani complex sp. type 1. RNAcentral's name for it is "tRNA-Leu". The record is from RNAcentral. Lineage: Eukaryota; Metazoa; Platyhelminthes; Trematoda; Plagiorchiida; Troglotrematidae.